CCUACGGGUGGCAGCAGUGAGGAAUUUUGGUCAAUGGACGAGAGUCUGAACCAGCCAAGUAGCGUGAAGGAUGACUGCCCUAUGGGUUGUAAACUUCUUUUAUAUGGGAAUAAAAUGUUCCACGUGUGGGAUUUUGUAUGUACCAUAUGAAUAAGGAUCGUCUCACUCCGUGCCAGCAGCCGCGGUAAUACGGAGGAUCCGAGCGUUAUCCGGAUUUAUUGGGUUUAACGGGAGCGUAGGUGGAUUGUUAAGUCAGUUGUGAAAGUUUGCGGAUCAACCGUAAAAUUGCAGUUGAAACUGGCAGUCUUGAGUACAGUAGAGGUGGGCGGAAUUCGUGGUGUAGCGGUGAAAUGCUUAGAUAUAACGAAGAACUCCGAUUGCGAAGGCAGUUCACUGGACUGCAACUGACACUGAGGCUCGAAAGUGUGGGUAUCAAACAGGAUUAGAUACCCUGGUAGUC
Molecule: ribosomal RNA, 460 nt
Filed under: uncultured bacterium
Lineage: Bacteria
Description: partial 16S ribosomal RNA
Rfam family: Bacterial small subunit ribosomal RNA
Source: RNAcentral